This 301-nucleotide ribosomal RNA is filed under the name uncultured bacterium. RNAcentral describes it as "partial 16S ribosomal RNA". It matches the Rfam family "Bacterial small subunit ribosomal RNA", at positions 509 to 807 of the family's 1533-position model. The record is from RNAcentral.
CAGCCGCCACGGGAAAACGGAGGGGGCUAGCGUUGUUCGGAAUUACUGGGCGUAAAGCGCACGUAGGCGGCUUUGUAAGUCAGAGGUGAAAGCCUGGAGCUCAACUCCAGAAUUGCCUUUGAGACUGCAUCGCUUGAACGUCGGAGAGGUGAGUGGAAUUCCGAGUGUAGAGGUGAAAUUCGUAGAUAUUCGGAAGAACACCAGUGGCGAAGGCGGCUCACUGGACGACUGUUGACGCUGAGGUGCGAAAGCGUGGGGAGCAAACAGGAUUAGAUACCCCAGUAGUCCCUGUCUCUUAUAC